This 1060-nucleotide long non-coding RNA is filed under the name Gopherus agassizii (Agassiz's desert tortoise). RNAcentral's name for it is "lncRNA (ENSGAGG00000011425.1)". Lineage: Eukaryota; Metazoa; Chordata; Testudines; Testudinidae. The record is from RNAcentral.
GAGCUCUCAGGCGAGGCAGAGGCACUCGGCGGCUGCCUGCUCCAUCUGCAGGGGCCAUCUUGUUAUUGACAUGUGUCGGGUCUCGCUCUGGCUUCCUGCAGUAGCCGGGUUGCAGCGCGCUCACAAAGAGCUGUCUGGCGUUAGCAGUGACCCCAGGCUGCAGGAAGUAGCUGGUUUUGCUUGGACACAGCGUGUCAGUAAAUGGUGCAAACUGCCACACGCAGAGACAAGAAGCUGCAGUGCACAGACCAGCAGAAACCAAACAGAAACCACAGAAAAUAAAAAGACACAAUUGAAGGAGAUGGGAACAAACCUUCCAGAUCUAUAUGAAAACCUCGGGAGCAGAUAAAAAAGAACUUGGCAUAAAAGUAGCCAUUUUACUGCACAUAGUGGGAGAGGAAGCUCUGGAAGUUUAUAACGUUCUUACAGCAGCCAGCUGAAAAUGCUUCUGUUUUGGAUGAGAUCUUAACAAUGAUUAGGAACUAUGGUAACUGUAAGAAAAAAAUUGUGAUCUGUACCAAUUGUGUUCUGUAGUGGUCUUACCUACACUUAGGGGAAGAGCGGAUAGACUCUUCCCCUAAGUGUCAUAGAGCUGAGGCAAAAAACAAGAAAUGAGAGUUUGAAAAUGAUAUUCUCAGAUACAGAACUGUGUUUAGUGUCACCGAAAAAGGGCAAAAGGAAAGGUUGUUGAGGAAAGUGGAAACCUAAUUUGGGCUUGCAGAAAGCAAUAGGCAUUUGCAGAGCUUCACAAGCCACAAAAUAGAGAUCUUGUCUGGGCCACAUACUGACAUGUUUGUAGAGGCUGUUACACAAAAGAAUACACAGGGCAUCAUGGGGAGAGCCCAACUGCUGAUGAGUCAGAGCAAGGCAGACACACCAGUCACUCACACACAAACUCUGUGCACACUGUGGUAUGACAAACCUAGCCUAUGGAAAAACAUGUCACAAAUGUGGAAAAUUAAAUCACUAUUCUAUUUGCAGAGUUUAAUCUUAAUAUUGAGGUGGAAGCUAAAUGUUUUCCAAAUCACCGUUUGAGAAAGAUAGCAAGUCCCAUCCAGUC